UACGGCCAGAUCACGUUCGAGCACCGGUUCUCUUACGAUCACCAGAGUUAAGCUACGUCACGCCUGGUCAGUACCUAGAUUGGUGAGCGCUUGGGAAUACCAGGUGCUGUAAG
This is a non-coding RNA of Acanthosepion pharaonis, 113 nucleotides long. Lineage: Eukaryota; Metazoa; Mollusca; Cephalopoda; Sepiida; Sepiidae. The record is from the annotation of a GenBank genome assembly.